GACGGAAGGUGCAAGCGUUGCUCGGAAUCACUGGGCGUAAAGGGUGCGUAGGCGGCUGUGUAAGUCUGGCGUGAAAGCCCCGGGCUCAGCCCGGGAAGUGCGCUCGAAACUGCACGGCUCGAGUGCCGGAGGGGAGAGUGGAAUUCCUGGUGUAGCGGUGAAAUGCGUAGAUAUCAGGAGGAAUACCGGUGGCGAAGGCGGCUUACUGGUCCGGAUCUGACGCUGAGGCGCGAAAGCGUGGGGAGCAAACAGG
Molecule: ribosomal RNA, 253 nt
Filed under: uncultured bacterium
Lineage: Bacteria
Description: partial 16S ribosomal RNA
Rfam family: Bacterial small subunit ribosomal RNA
Source: RNAcentral